GUGCUGGAGGCUCCGCACCAGGACACCUUCUGGCUGGUCCAGCCCUGGAAGUUUGAAAGUCCUUCAAAGUUACUUGGAAGGAAUAAACACACCCCUGCACACCGAGGCACAGAAGCCUGGCCUUCCCAGCUCAGAGAGUCCUUGGUGGCAAUUUGAGAUGAAACGGCCGUGAUCGAAGAGAGAAAGUGGAGGCGAGGCUUAGCGUCCCACAGAGCAGAGGCCGCUGGUUCCCCGGGAUGGAGGGGCCAGGAGUGAAGACAGCCAUACCAGGCCUGAAUCGCCGGCUCAGGAGACAGAGGCCAGGGCCCAUAGGAGAGGAAGCUCCCGGGUAAGCUCUUCACAGUGCCUAGGCAUUCUGUCUUUGUGCUCCUACAAAACCAGGCUUAUGUUUGCAAAGCGUUGGGAGAAGUCGGAGUUCCCUGGGAACAUCGUGUAUACCAAACAGGGACGCCUUGGAGGAGGGCCCACAGGAUGGGAGAUCCCCAGGCAUCUCCCCAGAAAGCUGAGAAUUCAAAGAAGGACCGAGGCAGAUUUCUGAAUGUUUCCUUGCUCUGUCUUCUCAUCCACACUUUGUUCUGGGGUUGAGGAGGGUGUGGAGUUGGGAAUCCAACCCAAGGCUCCUGGCCUCUCUGCAGACCCCAGAGUCUGCUCAGGAAGCCACAAAACCAGUGCCCACACCAGCAUGUGCCACUCAGGAGAGGAGAAUUCAGGAGGAACGGAAGGCCUGCUCCCCACGGCUCGGCUCCAGGCCAUCUUCCUUCUUGAUGGGGACACCUCCUGCCUUGGAGAGAGGUUUCGCCACAGAAAUGCCUGAUCUGCCCAAGGCCACCCUGCCAGGGACAGUGGUUACUGAUGUUGCCUGCUCUGCAUCCACCGUAGCACAGGGGGAAGGAUGCCUGCCCAAUCCAUGGCACCCUCUCCUGUGUGCCAGCAUGCACAGGCUUCCUCCAUGCACAGGCCAGGGAUGGCUGGCCAAAUACUGUCACCAGGGGAGGCUGUGGGAACUCCCAGAGGGGAUAGCCUUGGCCUCUGUGUGGUCAGACCAUAAGGGCUAGCCUUGGCCUCUGUGUGGUCAGACCAGAAGGGCUAACCUUGACUUCUGUGUGAUCACAUCAGAAAGGCUAGCCUUGUCCUCUGUGUGAUCAGACCAGAAGGGCCAACCUUGGCCUCUCUGUGGUCAGAUAGAAGGGCUAGCCUUGGCCUCUGUGUGAUCAGACCAGAAGGGCUAGCCUUGACUUCUGCGUGAUCAGAUCAGAAGGGCUAGCCUUGACCUCUGUGUAGUCAGAUAGAAGGGCUAGCCUUGGCCUCUGUGUGAUCAGACCAGAAGGGCUAGCGUUGGCCUCUGUGUGGUCAGACCAGAAGGGACAGCCUUGGCCUCUGUGCAGUUGUCCCAGAAGAGCUAGCCUUAGAGAAUGGGACACCCUCCUCAAAGGUUCACCUACCUAACAGUUGUAAUUUUUAAUUUAAUCAUGUUUCUUGAUGUUUUUGGCUGAAUACUUUGGCUAACUAAAUAUAUUUUGUUCAAUGAUACCUAAUAAAAUGUCCCAUCUG
RNAcentral lists this long non-coding RNA (1551 nucleotides) under Homo sapiens (human). RNAcentral's name for it is "HSALNT0000676". The record is from RNAcentral. Lineage: Eukaryota; Metazoa; Chordata; Mammalia; Primates; Hominidae.